Vespa mandarinia (Asian giant hornet) is the source of this 2338-nucleotide long non-coding RNA. The record is from RefSeq and is a predicted model, not a curated record. Lineage: Eukaryota; Metazoa; Arthropoda; Insecta; Hymenoptera; Vespidae.
GAAUCUAUUUAGAUCUUAUUCUACAUAAACAUUUCACAUUUUCUAAGAUAUGGCUAUGUUAUGCAUAUUUCGAAAUGUAACAAAAAAUUUGACUGUAGCGAGAAAAACAUUAAUAUGGUAUUGGGUGUUUAUCCCAAAGACAAAUUGUUCCGUGGUUACAAUGAUUUAGAGGUACAAUCUAGAAAAUUUGACAGAUGCAGGAUUCUGUAUGAAAAAUUAUUUGAAUUGCACUUCAAAACUGCACAAUGUGAAUGAAAUUUGGAUAUACCUGAACUUUUAUGGAAGUCAUAUAUGGAUUUUAAAAUAUCUCAGGAUGUAAUAGAAAAUACCAAACAACUAUUAGAGGGAUUAUUAGAACGAAAUGUUCAUGUCAAAUUCGUAGAAUUUUUGAACGUGGGAAUUGUGCAUUAUUUGCAAACAGUGACAAAGAAAGGAGAAUAUUACUUUUGGGAGCAUGGAGAGAUUUUGAAAAUGAGAAAGGAGACAAAUAGAGUUAGAUUAAAAUUAAUCUAGAUCAAAAUGCCUAGAAGAAUUAAACGAAGAAGACGAAUGAUUGAAGAAGGAUCAGUGUCUCCAGAAUCCGGUUCGAAGGACUAAAAUGUUUUGUGUUGCGUCGGGUGGUCGCAGCUACGAGAGCGAUUUUAGAUGUGCGUCCCGCAUUGGAUCAACUAUAACAAUCGAUUUGCACAGAGAAAUAUUUUCCGUCUGUCCGAACUACAGACCCACUGGUCGCGAUGAAUAAGAGCGGCGGCACUAUGCAAGGAUACCAUUGGAGACCGUCAGCAAAAUACUGCUUGUCGCGUUCCCGCAAAUUAAUGGGGAAACGCACGUUCUUUUAAAGGAUCAUGUGAAAUUCGCAAGGUAGAUGCGCGAUAUUAAAUAUCACGCGCAUUGAAGUUGAUUCGAUAUAUAUUUGAUGAAAUAAGUUACAAUUGUUUAUGUGUUUCGUGUAAUGAUUUCGUGUUCUGAAUAAGACUUGACAGCUUAGAUGUCGUGAGUCUAAAAGAUGUAACUUACCUGAUUUUUUGGAAGUCUAGAACUAUCCAUACAGACUGUAAUGAGAUCACAGAGAAUAAAAAGGGCGGAGUUAAAGUAUGAUUUGAGCAUGGAAAGGGAAAGAAUAAAUGUCCAUUGGUCGUAGAUAGUUCAAUGAAAUGUUUAAAUAUUCCAUGUGUGCCCCCUUUGUUCUAAUGAUCAUGUAGAUUGCAGAGUGUCAAUAGAUAUUUUAAAGCUAGAAGCCAAAUAAACCUUGACUUGUCGCGCCUAGGAGUCUACUUUCACUAUUUACUUAUUGGCCGGUUUGACAUAUUAUCGAAAUCCAGAUAUUUUACUAAGAAGCCCAGACAAAGAUGGCCAUAUGUUUUUUAUCUAUGCGUUUUGUUAGCUAAUAUCUAAUAAUUUCCGAAGAGUAAAGAUUUCCGAUGGUGAUACAUGACCUUUAAGAGAAAGUACUGUGAACAAUGGAGAGAUACACGUAUGCGUCAAUACCACUGCCUCAGUGACGUGUAAAAGAUUCUUUACUUGGUACAUAUAUCUGUCAGAUUAUUAAUUAGUUAAAUUAAAAUUAAACAUGCCCAAUUAAUUAAUUCUUUACUUGGCAAUUUUUUAUUAAUUUUAAGAUGCCACGCACUACUAGAAUUCAUACUAAUAAUAGUACCUUUGCUUUAAGUUUAAUAUAAACCGUAGGUUCACUUUUGUCACUUACAAUUUUAGUUAUAUAAAAAUUAUAUAAUUUGGUUGUAUUAUUAUGUACGUCCAAUAUCAAAUUGGUUAUAUGCAACACAAUACAUUUCCAAUUAUAUUUCAUGUAAAAUACUAAUUGUUCUUAUAUCCUAUACGUUGUUUCGUUUUAUCACUACAACAAUAUAUGCGAUUUGUAUACUUUUUAUGGAAACCAAAAAUAUAAAACGACUCUUUGUAAAUAUCUUUUUGUUAAUCCAUGUUAUUAUACAAAGGUAGAUCGUUUACAGUAACAGCAGUUUGAAUAUUUUGUCGCUAUAUGAUGGUGGAAUAAUUUUUAUUUAAACGGAGAUACUGGAGCUACUAUAAUUACGUACUACAUUUAUGUGGCAUUUUAUUUUUUCAACUAAUAUUGGAUUUUAUUAGGGAUCAUGAUAAGCUUUCCAUGCAUGCUGUUGUUCUCAUCGCCGAUCAAUUUUGUAUAUUUCAAACCAUGCAUUUCAACGCUACAAUGAAAAUUCUACUGUAGUAUCAAUAAAUAAACAUUUUUGAAAUAUUCAUGAUUGCGGAAGGCUGUUUGUGUACGGUUUAUUCAAUCGCAGUAAUAUUUGUAUCAAGUAUCAAUUUGAUCAAUAUAUAAAUGUUUUUUAAUCAUAAA